CACAAAAGUCCCUUUGAAGUUUUGUUCCAAAAAAAACCAGCAUACUGCCAUCUAAAGGUCUUUGGCUGCCUUGCCUUUGCUACAACCCUCAUGCAAGGCAGACACAAGUUUGAUUCUAGAGCUAAGAAAUGUGUAUUCCUAGGAUAUCCAUUUGGAAUUAAAGGAUAUAAGCUUCUUGAUCUAGAAACAAAGAGAGUUUUCAUAUCCAGAAAUAUAGUUUUUCAUGAAACUUUGUUUCCCUUCAAAGAGGUGGAUGCUAAAAAAAUUAAGUGUGCCAAGUCCUGCUGAUUUGUGCUUCCCUCAAAAUCCUUUGAUCUGUGUCCCAAACAAUCACACGUCUAAAGAACCCACAAAGUCUAGUAACUAGUCUUCAUCUGUUUCCAAUCAUAAAGAAAACAUUGGACAUAAUGACACAAUUGAUUCCCAAACCGAGCAAAACAUACAACAAAUAGAUUUGUAUAUUGCAGAUAUGGAAACAAAACAAACCAUUCCUCACUUACCAAGAAGAUCCACCAGAAUUAGAAGAGCUCCUUUGCAUCUACAAGAGUUCAUAUGUCAGCAGGCCACUUCAUUCACUCCAUUACAGAACUUGAACAAGGCAAAGGACUCUAUUCCUUCAGGCACUCCUUAUCCUCUCAGUGAUAAUGUGUCAUAUGAUAGUUUGUCCAUUCGUCACAGAGCCUUUAUCACCUCUAUAACUUCACAAAUUGAACCUAAAAAUUAUCAAGAAGCUGUUAACUAUCCUGAAUGGUGUGAAGCCAUGAGAACAGAGAUUAAGGCACUUGAGUCAAAUGAUACAUGGGUCAUUGUUGAUCUCCCGAAUAGUAAAGAAGCAAUAGGGUGCAAAUGGGUAUAUAAAAUCAAGUUUAAAACUGAUGGAAGAAUUGAGAGAACAAGGCAAGGCUAGUUGCAAAGAGGUACACACAGCAAGAAAGUUUGGACUAUCAUGAAACCUUUUCUCCUGUGGCAAAGCUUGUUACUGUUCGAAGUUUACUUGCUCUUGCAGCCAUAAAAGGAUGGUUCUUGUACCAAUUGGAUGUUAAUAAUGCCUUUUUACAUGGCGAUUUGGAUGAGGAAGUGUAUAUGCAGUUACAUCCUGGUUAUAGUGCUGAUAAGUGCCAAAAGGUGUGCAAACUUCGCAAGAGUUUGUAUGGACUUAAGCAGGCCUCACACCAGUGGUAUUCAAAGUUGUCUAGCAUUAUCGCUCAACAUGGUUUCAUUCAAUCGAAGGCUGAUUACAGCUUAUUCACUAGGGCCACUCAAGACUCAUUCACAGCUAUCCUAGUGUAUGUUAAUGAUGUUAUCUUUGCUGGAAAUUGCAUGGAUACUAUCAAUAACCUUAAAGGUGCUCUUGAUGCAAAAUUCAAAAUCAAAGAUUUAGGAAAAUUGAAGUGUUUUUUGGGCAUCGAGGUGGCAAGAUCAGAACAUGGGAUAUACAUAUGCCAAGAAAAUAUGCUAUGGACAUUUUGGGAGACUCGGGCACUAUAGGUUCAGCACCAUCCAAGAUACCUCUUGAUCAGAGCAUUAAGUUAAGCAAGGAUGAAGGUGACUUACUUACUAAUCCUGCUAUCUAUAGGAGGUUAAUAGGGCAGUUGCUAUACCUGACUAUAACAAGACCAUAUCUAUCUUACUCAUUUCAGUUAUUGAGUCAAUACAUGGAUAAACCUAGAUUGCCACAUCUUCAUGCAUCACACAAAGUCCUGAGAUACAUUAAAAGGGCACCAGGUCAAGGCUUAUUUUAUUCCUCCACUUCUGAUCUCUAGUUGAAAGAUUACUCAGAUUCAGAUUGGGGUGCUUGUCCAGACAUUAGGAAAUCUGUGACAAGUUACUUUGUUUUCAUAGGUUCAUCUCUAUUAUCAUGGAAAUCAAAGAAGCAAAGUGUGGUUUCCAGAUCGUCCUCUGAAGUUGAAUACAGAGCAAUGGCACAGGUGUGUUGUGAACUAACAUGGAUGAGGUAUUUGUUUGAAACUUUAGAAAUUGAACAUAGCCAAGCAGCAAGGUUAUAUUGUGAUAACAAAUCUGCUAUCUACAUUGCCACGAAUCCCCUUUUUCAUGAAAGAACCAAACAUAUAGAAAUUGAUUGUCAUCUUGUUAGAGACAAAAUACAAAAUGGAAGCAUCGCUGCUGAGUAUGUUCACACUGGUUCUCAAGUGGCAGAUAUGUUAACAAAGGCUUUGAAUUCUUCAAGCCUUUACUCACACAUGAACAAGAUGGGAGUAGUUAAUAUCUACUCUCCAUCUUGGGAGGGGCUGUUAAAUGCUAAUGAACAACCUGAUCAGCUGGUAAUACAGUCAUCAGCCCAAACCACGACAGCAUCCAAUGGUGAUCCAGCAAAGAAGGAAGAAUCUAGAAGAAAGGGUGUCUAGAAGCAUUACGUCACCAGCAUUCUAUUAAGCAUAUUCCCUCUGCCAUUUGUUGUAACAAAUAGAUUUUAUUUUUUUAUUUUUAUUUUUUUGUUUUCU
This 2462-nucleotide long non-coding RNA is filed under the name Olea europaea subsp. europaea. The record is from RNAcentral. Lineage: Eukaryota; Viridiplantae; Streptophyta; Magnoliopsida; Lamiales; Oleaceae.